AAUAGAAUAGCUGGGUCAAAUGGUGGUUACAUUCCCAAUUUUCAAAGAAAACUCCUUACUGCUUUCCAAAGUGGACAUACCAAUUUUUAGUCUCACCAGCAAU
Molecule: microRNA precursor, 103 nt
Filed under: Marmota monax (woodchuck)
Lineage: Eukaryota; Metazoa; Chordata; Mammalia; Rodentia; Sciuridae
Source: RNAcentral